Molecule: ribosomal RNA, 734 nt
Filed under: uncultured archaeon
Lineage: Archaea
Description: bacterial SSU rRNA
Rfam family: Archaeal small subunit ribosomal RNA
Source: RNAcentral
GGAUAACCUACCCUUAGGACUGGGAUAACCCUGGGAAACUGGGGAUAAUACUAGAUAGGCAAUUUUUCCUGGAAUGGUUUUUUGUUUAAAUGUUUUUUCGCCUAAGGAUGGGUCUGCGGCCGAUUAGGUAGUUGGUUAGGUAAUGGCUUACCAAGCCGUUGAUCGGUACGGGUUGUGAGAGCAAGAGCCCGGAGAUGGAACCUGAGACAAGGUUCCAGGCCCUACGGGGUGCAGCAGGCGCGAAACCUCCGCAAUGUGAGAAAUCGCGACGGGGGGAUCCCAAGUGCCAUUCUUAACGGGAUGGCUUUUCAUUAGUGUAAAGAGCUUUUGGAAUAAGAGCUGGGCAAGACCGGUGCCAGCCGCCGCGGUAACACCGGCAGCUCUAGUGGUAACAAUUUUUAUUGGGCCUAAAGCGUCCGUAGCCGGUUUAAUAAGUCUCUGGUGAAAUCCUGUAGCUUAACUGUGGGAAUUGCUGGAGAUACUAUUAGACUUGAGACCGGGAGAGGUUAGAGGUACUCCCAGGGUAGAGGUGAAAUUCUGUAAUCCUGGGAGGACCGCCUGUUGCGAAGGCGUCUAACUGGAACGGUUCUGACGGUGAGGGACGAAAGUUAGGGGCGCGAACCGGAUUAGAUACCCGGGUAGUCCUAACUGUAAACGAUGCGGACUUGGUGUUGGGGUGGCUUUGAGCUGCUCCAGUGCCGAAAGGGAAGCUGUUAAGUCCGCCGCCUGGGAAG